This 253-nucleotide ribosomal RNA is filed under the name uncultured bacterium. Its description in RNAcentral is "partial 16S ribosomal RNA". It matches the Rfam family "Bacterial small subunit ribosomal RNA", at positions 524 to 776 of the family's 1533-position model. The record is from RNAcentral.
UACGGAGGGUGCAAGCGUUGUCCGGAUUUAUUGGGUUUAAAGGGUGCGUAGGCGGCCCGUUAAGUCAACGGUGAAAUCCCGGGGCUCAACCCCGGAACUGCCGUUGAUACUGGCGGGCUUGAGUUCGGUGAAGGCGGGCGGAACUGGCGGUGUAGCGGUGAAAUGCUUAGAUACCGCCAAGAACCCCGAUUGCGUAGGCAGCUCGCUGUGCCGAAACUGACGCUGAGGCACGAAAGCGUGGGGAGCGAACAGG